AAAAAGACAAACUAUGGGUUUUCGUGUCCAACUUUGACUGUCCGUCUUAUAUGAAUUUUGUUUAUAAUUUGUAUUUUUAUUAUUGUUAGAUGAUAAAACAUGAUUAAUAUUUUAUACGUGACUUGUGUUUUUAAUUUUUUCAAACAAGACGGACGGUCAAACGUUAGACACGGAAACCAAAGUUUGUCUUUUUU
RNAcentral lists this microRNA precursor (194 nucleotides) under Oryza glumipatula. RNAcentral's name for it is "MIR812 microRNA precursor family". It matches the Rfam family "MIR812 microRNA precursor family". Lineage: Eukaryota; Viridiplantae; Streptophyta; Magnoliopsida; Poales; Poaceae. The record is from Rfam by way of RNAcentral.